CCUACGGGAGGCAGCAGUGAGGAAUAUUGGUCAAUGGACGAGAGUCUGAACCAGCCAAGUAGCGUGAAGGAUGACUGCCCUAUGGGUUGUAAACUUCUUUUAUAUGGGAAUAAAACAGGGUAUGCAUACCCUCUUGUAUGUACAAUAUGAAUAAGGAUGGGCUAACUCCGUGCCAGCAGCCGCGGUAAUACGGAGGAUGCGAGCGUUAUCCGGAUUUAAUGGGUUUAAAGGGAGCGUAGGUGGAUUGUGAAGUCAGUUGUGAAAGUUUGCGGCUCAACAGUAAAAUUGCAGUUGAAACUGGCAGUCUUGAGUACAGGAGAGGUAGGCGGAAUUCGUGGUGUAGCGGUGAAAUGCUUAGAUAUCACGAAGAACUCCGAUUGCGAAGGCAGCUUACUGGACUGCAAAUGACACUGAUGCUCGAAAGUGUGGGUAGCAAACAGGAUUAGAUACCCUUGUAGUC
RNAcentral lists this ribosomal RNA (460 nucleotides) under uncultured bacterium. RNAcentral's name for it is "partial 16S ribosomal RNA". It matches the Rfam family "Bacterial small subunit ribosomal RNA", at positions 338 to 795 of the family's 1533-position model. The record is from RNAcentral.